This is an RNA transcript of Nycticebus coucang (slow loris), 3376 nucleotides long. It is a transcript of the gene named oxysterol-binding protein-related protein 8-like, with no coding region annotated. The transcript has a single exon. NCBI's taxonomy places the organism in Eukaryota, Metazoa, Chordata, Mammalia, Primates, Lorisidae. The record is from RefSeq and is a predicted model, not a curated record.
CGCCCCAGCCGCCGCCGGCCACAGCCGCCAAGAGAAGUUGGAGUCCGACCCGACGCGUGCAGGGCCCCGGACCGCGGCGUCGCUGCGACUCCAGAGGAACCGGCUCCCUGCCUCCCGCCUCGCUGGGGGCCCGCGCCGGAUUUGCAGAUAUACAUGAUGGCUGAACAAUAAUGUAAAGAGAAGCAGAAACCUAUCUUCUUCCAUUAUGGAGACAGGUUUGCCAGAUGGAGAGCCUGACCGAACUUCCAUGUUAUAGCAAACAGUGAGGAAGCUCAACAUCUAACCCCAGAAAAGAUGAGUCAGCGCCAAGGGAGAGAAGCUUAUCCAACACCAACCGAAGAUUUACAUGGGCCAUCUCAGUCCAGCAAGUCCUCCUAGCCAGGGUUUUGAAAGAGGGAAGGAAGAUAUUUCUCAAAAUAAAGAUGAGUCUUCACUUUCUAUGUCAAAGAGUAAGUCUGAAUCUAAACUUUAUAAUGGCUCGGAGAAGGACAGCUCAACUUCAAACAAGCUCACAAAGAAAGAAUCUCUUAAGGUGCAAAAGAAAAAAUACUGAGAAGAAAAGAAAAGAGCUACAAAGGAGUUACUCAGUACAAUCACAGAUCCUUCUGUCAUUGUUAUGGCUGAUUGGUUGAAGAUUCGUGGUACACUAAAGAGCUGGACCAAGUUGUGGUGUGUGUUGAAACCUGGGGUGCUGCUGAUGUAUAAAACCCAAAAAAAUGGUCAGUGGGUAGGAACAGUCCUUCUGAAUGCCUGUGAAAUCAUUGAGGGUCCAUCAAAAAAGGAUGGCUUUUGUUUCAAACUUUUCCAUCCUUUGGAACAAUCUAUUUGGGCAGUGAAGGAUCCAAAAGGUGAAGCAGUUGGAUCCAUAACUCAGCCCCUCCCUAGCAGUUAUUUGAUCAUCCGAGCCACUUCGGAGUCUGAUGGAAGGUGCUGGAUGGAUGCUUUGGAGUUGGCUUUGAAAUGUUCUAGUCUUCUUAAACAUACAAUGAUCAGGGAAGGAAAGGAACAUGACCUGAGCAUUUCAUCCGAGAGCACACAUGUGACUUUGUAUGGCUUGUUAGUGCUAACAAUCUCCACAGCGGUGACACUUUCAGUUAAAUGAUAGUGAAAUCGAACACCAACAUUUUAAGGACCAAGAUAUGUAUUCUGAUAAAUCUGAUAAAGAAAAUGAUCAAGAACACGAUGAGUCUGACAAUGAGGUGAUGGGGAAAAGUGAAGAAAAUGACACAGAUACAUCAGAAAGGCAAGAUGACUCCUACAUUGAACCUGAGCCUGUUGAAUCUUUGAAGGAAACUACCUAUACUGAAGAGAGCCAUGAAGAGCUUGGGGAGGCUGGGGAGGCUUCUCAAACAGAAACUGUGUCUGAAGAAAACAAAAGCCUUAUCUGGACGCUGUUGAAACAAGUUUGUCCUGGCAUGGACCUGUCCAGGGUGGUUUUGCCUACAUUAACUUUGGAACCCCGUUCUUUCCUGGAUAAACCUUCGGAUUACUACUAUCAUGCAGAUUUCCUUUCUGAGGUUGCUCUUGAAGAAAAUCCUUAUUUCCGUUUGAAGAAAGUAGUGAAAUGGUAUUUGUCAGGAUUCUAUAAAAAGCCAAAGGGUCUGAAGAAACCCUAUAAUCUUAUAUUUGGUGAGACUUUCCGCUGUUUAUGGAUUCAUCCCAGGACAAACAGCAAAACUUUUUAUAUUGCUGAACAGGUGUCCCAUCAUCCACCAAUAUCUGCCUUUUAUGUUAGUAACCGAAAAGAUGGAUUUUGCCUUAGUGGUAGUAUCCUGGCUAAGUCCAAAUUUUAUGGAAACUCAUUAUCUGCAAUAUUAGAGGGAGAAGCACGAUUAACUUUCUUGAAUAGAGGUGAGGUGAAGAUUAUGUAAUGGCAAUGCCAUAUGCUCAUUGUAAAGGAAUUCUUUAUGGCACAAUGACACUGGAGCUUGGAGGAGCAGUCAAUAUUACAUGUCAAAAAACUGGAUUCAGUGCAAUACUUGAGUUUAAACUAAAGCCAUUUCUAGGGAGUAGUGAUUGUGUUAAUCAAAUAUCAGGGAAACUUAAAUUGGGAAAAGAAGUCUUAGUUACUUUGGAAGGCCACUGGGAUAGUGAAGUUUUUAUUAAUGACAAAAAGACUGAUAAUUCAGAGGCUUUCUGGAAUCCAACACCUGACAUUAAUCAAUGGAGAUUAAUAAGGCACACUGUAAAAUUUGAAGAACAAGGAGAUUUUGAAUCAGAAAAACUCUGGCAGCGGAUAACUCGAGCCAUAAAUGCCAAAGACCAAACAGAAGCUACUCAAGAGAAAUAUGUUUUAGAAGAAGCUCAGAGACAAGCUGCCCGAGAUCGAAAGACAAAAAAUGAUGAAUGGACUUGUAAGUUAUUUGAACUUGAUCCACUCACAGGAGAAGGGCAUUACAAGUUCGCAGAUACCCGACCAUGGGACCCACUUAAUGAUGUGAUACAGUUUGAAAAAGAUGCUGUUAUCCAGACCAAAGUGAAACAUCAAACUCCAAUGGUUAGUGUCCCAAAAGUGAAACAUAAGCCAACCAGGCGACAGAAGAAAGUAGCAAAAGGAUAUUCUUCCCCAGAACCUGAUAUCCAAGACUCAUCUGAAGUGAAGCUCAAUCAUUAAAACCAAGUACAAGAAGAAAGAAAGGGAUAGAACUGGGAGACAUUCAAAGUUCCAUUGAAUCCAUAAAACAAACACAGGAGGAAAUUAAAAGAAAUAUUAUGGUUCUUCGAAAUCAUUUGGUUUCAAGCACACCUGCGACAGAUUAUUUUCUGCAGCAAAAAGACUACUUCAUCAUUUUCCUCCUGAUUUUGCUUCAAGUCAUAAUAAACUUCAUGUUUAAAUAGAAGUUCUCUACUGUUGAAUCAAUGAACUAGAAACAUGAGAUUUUGCCUAGGACUAAUGACCAAGUUGGUUUGGUCUUUAUUAAAACAUCACAAAAUUUCAAAAAACCUAGGGGAUAAAUGGAGAGGUAUUAAUCUUUUGUAUCUUUUAUCCUUAACCUGAAACAAGAGCUAUCCUAUUUGGUUAUUAAAGUGACCUGUGUGUGAAGUGCCAGGACAUUUCUAGCUUUCGUGAAAAUGUGUCCACAUGUGAGUAUAAUAAAUCUACAUGUAUACACGGCUGUCUCUUAUCAACUCUUACCUGAUAGUGGUCUUUGUAUUCUAUAAUAUGUUCUUAGAUAUAACAUUAACAUUGUUCAUAACAAAAAUGCUAUUACUCUUAUAAAUAUAUGUAAUUUAUUUUCUUCUUAAAACUGGCACAAAGCUUUUAUCAAUAAGAAAUUACAGAUUGAGAAAUGAUAGAAUACUACACAUGAAUAACUCAGUACAUUGUACUGUUAAAAUAAUUUCCAAACACCCAGCUCAAUUGUCUUCUUAUAAA